Molecule: transfer RNA, 83 nt
Filed under: Oscillospiraceae bacterium
Lineage: Bacteria; Bacillati; Bacillota; Clostridia; Eubacteriales; Oscillospiraceae
Description: tRNA-Leu
Rfam family: tRNA
About the family: Transfer RNA (tRNA) molecules are approximately 80 nucleotides in length.
Source: RNAcentral
GCCGGUGUGAUGGAAUGGUAGACGUGACGGACUCAAAAUCCGUUGGUGGCAACACCGUGUGGGUUCGAGUCCCACCACCGGCA